CCAGAAAAUAUGGUAAGCUAUGUUAACAAGCCAUAUUAGAUAUCAAGCAUUAAUAUGGAAAUAAACCAGUGUGGGGACUUGGAGGAGGGGAGGUGAAUCUAAACUAGGUUUAGUGUGUGCUAAACUUAAUUAAUGGUUAACUAAAUUCAUUCAAAGAUAUCUGUAACUUGUGGUCUGAUAGUGCUGGUUUUUGGAUAUGAAUUUGUCAUUAAGACUACCUGGGCUGACUCUCUUUUCGGACUCAGCCCACCUGCACCCAGGUGAAAUAAACAGCUUUAUUGCUCACACAAAGCCUGUUUGGUGGUCUCUUCACAUGGACGCGCAUGAAAUUUGGUGCCGUGACUCGGAUCGGGGGACCUCCCUUGGGAGAUCAAUCCCCUGUCCUCCUGCUCUUUGCUCCGUGAGAAACAUCCACCUAUGGCCUCAGGUCCUCAGACCGACCAGCCCAAGAAACAUCUCACCAAUUUCAAAUCCGGCAUUGGGCUCUCACCAUUGGCCAAGAUUCCCUGCCCCGGUGAGGCCGGAAGCAGUUCAGACACCUGACUUCUGGCAACAUGUGAGCCUGACCCAAGCAGAUCACUGGUGACCAGUAAAUAUUGAAGCUCCAAGGUUCUUCCUUUAACAUACUGAAUUAAUGAGCCCCCUAGGGGCAUCCCCUAAAAUGACUGAGAUUUAAUUUCUCUCUAGCCUGAAUAAAGACUUAGAGCAGAUUAAAUUUGAUUUAGAGGAAGAAAAAAGCAGAGUGACUUUCUUACAACUUAGUAUUCUCAACUAAAAUUCAUACCCACAACACACAAAUACAUCCACACCAACACCCACCUAUCCACCUACCCACAUGCAUGCUUUGGAGGAUUUUGGAAGAGUGCUGAAUGGCAUGUUAUAAUUUUUCAAUUCGUUUAAAUAUUUAAAAAGUGAUAGUCUUUUAUGACUGGGUGCGGUGGCUCACGCCUGUAAACCCAGCACUUUGGAAGGCUGAGGCAGGUGGAUCAUUUGAGGCCAGGAGUUUGAGACCAGCCUGAGCAACGUGGCAAAACACCAUUCUACUAAAAUUAGAAAAAUUAGCCAGAUGUGGUGGCACAGGCCUGUGAUC
This 1090-nucleotide long non-coding RNA is filed under the name Homo sapiens (human). Its description in RNAcentral is "HSALNT0093634". The record is from RNAcentral. Lineage: Eukaryota; Metazoa; Chordata; Mammalia; Primates; Hominidae.